CAAAACUAAUAAAUAAGAGGUCCCGCCUGCCCUGUGACUAUAUGUUUAACGGCCGCGGUAUUUUGACCGUGCAAAGGUAGCGCAAUCACUUGUCUUUUAAAUGGAGACCCGUAUGAAUGGCACAACGAGGGCUUAACUGUCUCUUCUUUCAAGUCAAUGAAAUUGAUCUCCCCGUGCAGAAGCGGGGAUGCACACAUAAGACGAGAAGACCCUGUGGAGCUUUAGGCACCAAAGCAGAAUAUGUAAAGUACCCUAGACUAACAGCCAAAACAGCUUAUAACCUGCCCUAAUGCCUUCGGUUGGGGCGACCGCGGGGAAAUAAAGAACCCCCAUGUAGAAUGGGAGCACAGCUCCUACAGCUUAGAGCCCCCGCUCUAAUCAACAGAAUUUCUGACUAAUAAGAUCCGGCAAUGCCGAUCAACGGACCAAGUUACCCCAGGGAUAACAGCGCAAUCCCCUUUUAAAGCCCAUAUCGACAAGGGGGUUUACGACCUCGAUGUUGGAUCAGGACAUCCUAAUGGUGCAGCCGCUGUUGAGGG
This 539-nucleotide ribosomal RNA is filed under the name Centropyge loriculus (flame angel). Its description in RNAcentral is "Centropyge loricula partial 16S ribosomal RNA". It matches the Rfam family "Bacterial large subunit ribosomal RNA", at positions 1833 to 2571 of the family's 2925-position model. The record is from RNAcentral. Lineage: Eukaryota; Metazoa; Chordata; Actinopteri; Pomacanthidae.